UUGAACGCUGGCGGCAGGCCUAACACAUGCAAGUCGAACGGUAACAGGAAGCAGCUUGCUGCUUCGCUGACGAGUGGCGGACGGGUGAGUAAUGUCUGGGAAACUGCCUGAUGGAGGGGGAUAACUACUGGAAACGGUAGCUAAUACCGCAUAACGUCGCAAGACCAAAGAGGGGGACCUUAGGGCCUCUUGCCAUCGGAUGUGCCCAGAUGGGAUUAGCUAGUAGGUGGGGUAACGGCUCACCUAAGCGACGAUCCCUAGCUGGUCUGAGAGGAUGACCAGCCACACUGGAACUGAGACACGGUCCAGACUCCUACGGGAGGCAGCAGUGGGGAAUAUUGCACAAUGGGCGCAAGCCUGAUGCAGCCAUGCCGCGUGUAUGAAGAAGGCCUUCGGGUUGUAAAGUACUUUCAGCGGGGAGGAAGGGAGUAAAGUUAAUACCUUUGCUCAUUGACGUUACCCGCAGAAGAAGCACCGGCUAACUCCGUG
RNAcentral lists this ribosomal RNA (489 nucleotides) under uncultured bacterium. RNAcentral's name for it is "partial 16S ribosomal RNA". It matches the Rfam family "Bacterial small subunit ribosomal RNA", at positions 30 to 507 of the family's 1533-position model. The record is from RNAcentral.